This 445-nucleotide ribosomal RNA is filed under the name uncultured bacterium. RNAcentral describes it as "SSU rRNA". It matches the Rfam family "Bacterial small subunit ribosomal RNA", at positions 26 to 518 of the family's 1533-position model. The record is from RNAcentral.
AGGAUUAACGCUGGCGGCGUGCCUAACACAUGCAAGUCGAACGAGGUAGCAAUACCUAGUGGCAGACGGGUGAGUAACGCGUGGGAACGUACCUUUUGGUUCGGAACAACACAGGGAAACUUGUGCUAAUACCGGAUAAGCCCUUACGGGGAAAGAUUUAUCGCCAAAAGAUCGGCCCGCGUCUGAUUAGCUAGUUGGUGAGGUAACGGCUCACCAAGGCGACGAUCAGUAGCUGGUCUGAGAGGAUGAUCAGCCACAUUGGGACUGAGACACGGCCCAAACUCCUACGGGAGGCAGCAGUGGGGAAUAUUGGACAAUGGGCGCAAGCCUGAUCCAGCCAUGCCGCGUGAGUGAUGAAGGCCCUAGGGUUGUAAAGCUCUUUUGUGCGGGAAGAUAAUGACGGUACCGCAAGAAUAAGCCCGGCUAACUUCGUGCCAGCAGCCGC